Molecule: non-coding RNA, 781 nt
Filed under: Pongo abelii (Sumatran orangutan)
Lineage: Eukaryota; Metazoa; Chordata; Mammalia; Primates; Hominidae
Source: RNAcentral
AUAAUCAAGGACAGAAAAUCAGUAUUGAUGGGGCGAGCCAUGGGACUGGAAGGCAGCAGGCAGAUGUCAGGGUCAGGCAUUGCUGGCUCAGAAGCAGGUAUCAUAGCGUAAGCCCAAGUCUCUUCCAAGUCACAGGGCUAGGAACCAAGAUAUCAGCAGGGGAAGCAGGGGGUGGAGGGCGUAUAAAAAUGACCCAACUACGACCACCAAUAUUACCAUUUACUGAGGCUUCACCACUCAGCAGGCACCCUGAAAAGUGUUUUGUUUGCAUUAUCUUAGUCAGUCCUCCUAGCAGCCUGAUUAGUAGGAGUUGUUACAGAAACACAGAUGAAACCAUGGGUUAGAAAGAGGUUGAGAGUGCUAGAGAAUCUUAUGGCUGCAAAAUGGGUAAGCAGAGACUUCAACCACUGUCUUCUGACUCACAGCCCAAGGGAAAGACCAGGCAAGAGUAGGGGUGAAGAAAUCUCAUGUAGAAGCCCAGAACUUUCAAGAGAUAAGAAGUAGGGAGAUUCUGGUUUAAAGAGAGAUGACGGAAGCCCCGAAUGUCCUGUCUUCUGCUCCCCCAGAUACCUUCAUGGACUACAGAGCUGUACAUACGACUAUUGAAGUUUAUAACUAAAAAUAAACCAAUAGGAAACCUAGCCAUGGCAUAGUGGCUACAUGCAUGGGAUGUGAAGCCACAAUUCCUGAGUUUGAAUCCCAGCUCUGCCUCAUCUUAAAAGUGUGAUCAUAGAGAGGUUUCUUUUUCUCCCCAGGGUCAUGGAAUACAUGAACUUCAGGC